Long non-coding RNA from Cavia porcellus (domestic guinea pig), 1624 nucleotides. NCBI's taxonomy places the organism in Eukaryota, Metazoa, Chordata, Mammalia, Rodentia, Caviidae. The record is from Ensembl.
CAGAGAAGCACCAAGGAACAUACAGAGGAACUGAGGAGGACAGACAUACUUCAGGACCUGCUUCAACUUGGCCACUUGCUAGGUGUCUUCCAGCGCCUCUUGUCAGCUUGCACCCUGAAUCUUAGAUGGGAUCCCAUACAUGUCCUGGUAGCUGAUUCAUAGCCCUGAGAUAAGGAGGCAUCUGCAUUGAGCCUACUGGGGCCUAGCAUCCAGUUAGGCCCCCAGCCAUCUGCCCUUCAGUCAGACACAGCAGGGCGCGGUGGGACAAUGGAAAGAAGCAAGGAAUGUCUCCCUAUAUCAGCCUGUGAAGUCCUGCCACUGUACAAGGCCAGCUACCUUGUCCUAGAUGACUCCAACCUCUGUCUGCUGCUGCAGUCUUCCUGCCGUGGAACUGUGCUUGAAGAGUUGGCAUCUGUGACUUGUUUUCCUGUGAACAAGGCCAUGAACUUGGGCUGGUGCCUCAAAUGGCACUCACUUUUGGGCAUCUGUGCCUCACUCAUGUCUUUACAACCUUCAUAGGCCAGGGGGCCCUGACCUUCUGUCCAGAGACAAUCCUGUUCCCUCGCCUCCUUUAAACUACCUUGGCUGCUGCUAGAUCCUGCAGUAGGCCUGGUUUCUCAAGAUCAUUCCUACUGGGGCUCCUCAUUCAGCCAAUCCUGAGGGCCUAGGCUGGCAGCCAACCUCCUUUCACAGGGCUCUGUGUCUGACCGUCUUCCCAGGGCCACCACUUGGGACAUCUCCCAUUCCCCUCCCCCUUUCCCAGCAAAAGUCACCUUCCCCACUCUUUGGCUUCUGCCUGCUCUUGGUGCCAACUCACAGGAAAAGACUGGCUUCUUGUACUCCACCCCAUGGCCUGCAAAUCACACUUUGUCACUUGUUCCCUCUGCCCAGCAUUCUGUGAGCCACUUUGGCUCCAGACUUCUCAGAGUCAGUUAUGACAUGUGGCAAGAGUGUGGAAUUGAUAAUGUUCAAGUUUAGGCCUCACUAUGUAUUUGCUGCUGAUUAUAGGCAAAUGAUUUAAACUCUCUGUGCCUCUGUUUCUGUAACAUGGGAUCAUUACACUAUUUAGGUUUUAUGUGGAUUUAAAAGAUAAUGUUAUCUGGUAGAUCCUUCUUAAGGUGGCUCACCAAUUAAAUAUUAACCCAGGUUCUGGGUUACUCGACUAUUCUUCUAGAGUAAGAUUCCAGGUUCUUCUCAUGUCAAAGAAUUGAUCAAAAUGAGCAAACAAGGCAAAACAGAAUAAAACUAAACCAAAAAAAACAAUGAAAACGAUACAUUAUCUUUAAAACAAGAUAAUAGGGAAUUACAAUGGCCACCACUUUCAGAAGGAGAUCCCCCAUAGAUGCUAUACUGUAUGUUGUUAUCCUCUAAAUAGAUGAUCAGACUACUGGCUUUAGGCCUGCAAAGUCAAUGAAACACUAAACACUACAUGAAUUAAGUUGUAUUGAAAGUUAGGUUUCUUUUCUUUUUUUCUUUGUUACUGUGGAUCAAACUCAUGACCUCACACUUGCCAGGCAGGCACUUAAGCCACUGAGCUAAAUCCCCAGCCCUGUAUUUUACUUUAAUAGCUAUCUUCUCAAGCUGUGUUUCUCUGGAUCAGUCAGUUGCUUUGUGAGGGGGUGGG